Molecule: long non-coding RNA, 309 nt
Organism: Grammomys surdaster
Lineage: Eukaryota; Metazoa; Chordata; Mammalia; Rodentia; Muridae
Exons: 3
Source: RefSeq, a predicted model, not a curated record
GGCCGCUUCCUCAGGUUUCCCACGCUGUCCUUUCCUAGCUGACCCUCCCAUGGAGGCUUUCCCGUGAGGCUGGAAGAGGAGUGGCACAGAGGACUUAUCUUACAAGCGCAGCAACAGGAAAAGAAACUAAAAUACUAAAGAAAUUGCCCCUGGAGAUUGGAAGCAUGAACACGUCACCAUCAACCGUUUCUUGACUACUUGGAGCUCCCAUUGCUAUCUCAACUCUCGGAACAGCCUAGUAGGUGAAUUGAGAUGCUUGGACAUCAAGGAUCAGCAAGCUUGAAAUUGGAGCCUGUGCAGCGGAUGAUC